AAAAUUUUAUAAAUGGGAUCUGAAGACGAUAUAUUUUAUCAAAUUAGACAAUUGAUUCCGGGGUGCUCUCGGUGCACGUUUGGCUAGGGCGUGCUAUCGUGCACCUCCGGCUAUGGCUCGCUGGGAAUGGAAGGGCCGGCCCCAAAAAAUACCAAAGACACUACCAGCAGACACUGAUCGAAACAUAACGCCAACAUCUGGGAUUUCACAACUACUAAACCGUAUCCGACUUGUAAGUUGGAUACCUGGAUCGAGUACGACGGAUAUCAUCACCCUUGUCCCACCAGCACAUCAGGCACAUGAGUUGCAAUCGUCUGCUAGAGCAGAGCCAAUAGUGACUACGAAGAGUGGUGGGCAAGGACCUCGACUGUCAGGACUGUCGCGAUUCCUACUGCUCUAGCGGCAAGGAAAUUAGAUUUCCCCAUGGAGAAAAGCAAGCAACCUACUCUGGCCGUUAUUGUUCGAGGGAAUCAUUCUCAACAACAAGGUAUGCAAUUGAACUACUCUCCACUUAUUGUUAAGGAUGGGUAAAAGAUGGUCAAAUUGAAUCCAGUUGAGAUUAAUUAGCAGUGCAAGAAAUGGAUAUCUGCUCUGUGUAAUGGGCACUUGGGCAGUAACCCACCUUUCAAGGAAAUGCUAAGAUGGGUUUAUGGGGUUUGGAGAUCUGUUGUCCUAAAGUAUUCCUUCAUGAUGAUGGAUUACAUCUUUAAAUUCGAAUCUGAGGACAAGAUGCAUAUACUAGAGAAUGGACCAUACACCUUCAAUAGUAGACCUAUGGUGAUUAAAAAUUGGGUGUCGUAUUUCAAGCUAGUGAAUGAACCUAUGAGGGUGAUACCCAUAUGGGUGGUUUUUCCGGGACGAGUACAGUAUCGAGCAAAGGAAAUCUUAGGAAGUACUGCGAGUUCCUUGGGCAUGCCAGUUUGCAAGGAUAAGUUGACUGCUCAUGGUGAAAGGAGAUCUUAUGCACGAAUCCUUAUAGAAAUGGAUGUUGCUCAGAUCCUACCGGUUAAGGUAUCCAUUGAAAGGUCAGAUGGAAGCAUAAGAGUGCAAGAUAUUGAAUAUGAAUAAAACCCAAAGUUUUGUCUGAGUUGCAACAAGUUUGGACACAUGUCAGGAAACUGUGAGACUCUACAGAGACCAGCAGUGAGGCCAAAAUAAUGCCAGGAUGAUUGAUAAAACUUGGAGAGCUAAGGCAUAUGAUUCAACACAAAAAGAACGACCAGUGCAGACAGUUAUUCAUCAACAGACUACUGACCCUAAGGUGACUAACAAGCAGAUUGAUCCUAUUGAGACCUCUUUACCUAAGGUAGACUCUAGAGGAAAGCAUAAGGCUGAAUUGAGACAAGUAACAGAUUAUGAGAUUGAAGGAGAGAUGCAGAGGAUACUCCAAACAUUCGCUCCCUUGAGAAUUUAGGAAGACACAGCUUCAAGAAAAGCCAGUAGGUUUUAUAAGCCUCCUGGACAACAGACUAAGCUGAUGGAGUUGAAGAAGGUGGAUAAAGGGUCCCAUACAACCACCAAUCCCCCAUGAUUAUUUGCUCUUGGAACAUUUGGGGGCUGAAUAUGCCCUCCAAGCAAGAAGAACUCAAGACCUCCUUGUUUAAGAAUAAUAAUAGCAUGUCUUGAGACUAGAAUGAAGAUCUCUAACGCUGAGAAAAUCCAAAAAAAUAUAGGAGUGGAAUGGGAAAUCAGGAACUAUAGUACAAGAAGGAACAACGGUAGAAUAUGGUUGUGCUGGAAACAUAAUGACCCCAUAGUGGAUGUAGCGUUUUACUCUGCCCAGCUGAUUCAUUGUGUGGUGAUGGAUAAAUAUUCUCCUUUCAAGUGUAGUAUUAGUUGGGUAUAUGGCUGAAAUACUAUUGCAGAAAGGUAGGAUCUUUGGGACCAGUUGAGAGCUGUGCAUAACACUGUUAGUGGGCUUAAGCUGAUUCUUGGAGACUUCAAUAGUAUACUGAAUUCCAAGGACAAACUUUAUGGUGUCCCUGUACAUCUUUCAGAAGCUAUGGACUUUCAGGACUGCAUUGAUGAUAUUGGAAUAGGGUAUGUUACUUGAAGUAGUUUUCUAUACUCUUGGUGCAACAAAAGGGACUCUAAUGAUAGAAUCUACAGUCACAUAGAUUGGGUAUUAGGCAAUGCUCAAUGGUUUCACUCAUAUGGACAUAUUGUUGCUGAUUACUUACAUCCAGUAUGCUCAGAUCAUUCUCCAGUGGUACUCAAUACAGUAACUCAACAGGUCAAAGUCAAAGGCCUUUCAGACUUCUGACAGUACUGUUACAACAAAAGGAUUUUAAGCAAAUAUUUUUGGAUGUUUGGGCACAACAAAUUCCUGGACGCCACGUGUUUAAAAUAUGGAAGAAGCUUAAGCUAAUUGAACAAAGAAGCAGGGGUAUGUCAAAAGAGUACUUCCCAAUUGAAACAAAGCUGAAUGGGCUGAAACAAAAACGGAAUGAUAUCCAAGAUGCAUUGAGCACUGAUUUACUAAAUCAUCUGUUGAUCUUAGAGGAGAGUGACCCCGUAGCUCAGUACAUAAAUGGGAUGCGAUACAUGAGAGGGUCCUAAGGCAGAAAUCUAGGGCCACUUGGAUUGCCUAUGGAGACUCCAACUUUAAAUUUUUUAUGCUCUAGGGAUAGAGUUUCCUGCAUUUAUACUGAACAGGGGGUCAAGCUUACUGAUUCAGCAUUGAUUGAACAAGAGUUUGUUAGCUUCUUUCAAAACUUAAUGGGGGAUGCUGCACAGGAACUAGCGUGUAUAGAUGUUAAUAUAGACAGGGAUGGCCCUUGUUUAACACUAGCUCAACAACAAAUACUGAUGAGUCCUGUCACACAAGAGGAUGUUUUGAAGGUUCUAACUGACAUGCCUAGUGAUAAAUCCUCUGGAGUGGAUGGAUUUCCAGUUGAGUUCUUCAAAGAAUAUUGGCAAGUUGUGGUCUCUCAUGUGAUCUCUGCAGUUUUAAGCUUCUUCCAGAUGGAAAAUUAUUGAGGUAAAUCAACUAUACCACUCUAACAUUGGUUCCUAAAGUCCCAAAUCCAACUUAUGUGAAAGAUUCAGUCCUAUAGCCUGUUGCUCUACAAUGUACAAACUUGUGGCCAAGAUACUUACAGCUACUACAAUUUUCCUUCAUUGAGGGAAGGAAUAUACUGGAAAAUGUGAUUAUUGCUCACGAGUUGAUCAAUAAGUAUACUCAGAAAGGUAUAUCCCCUAGGUGCAUAGUCAAGGUGGACAUAAGAAAGGGUUAUGAUUAAGUUGAAUGGCCUUUUUUACUAAUGGCGCUACUAGAGUUUGGGUUUCCUCACAAAAUGGUAAGACUUAAUUAUGACAUGCGUGAAGAUUGUCCUGUACUCUGCUGAUUAAUGGAGGACCAACCACUAGAUUCCAGGCCAACGAGACCCCAUGUCUCCUACCUCUUUGUCUUGGCAUGUAAUACCUGAACAGAGCACUAAAGCAACUUUGCCAUAAUCCUUCAUUCAACUACCAUCCUUCAUUCAACUACCAUCCCAAGUGUGCUAAGAUGAAGCUGGUGCAUAUUUGCUUUGUGGAUGAUCUCCUUUUGUGUUGUAUAGAAGACACCAUCUCAGUCAAGUUGAUGAUGGAGAAAUUUGAUUAUUUUUAUGUGGUCUCAGGGUAGAAGGCAAAUUUGGAUAAAAGUUCUCUAUAUGUUGCAGGUGUCUCCACAUAUGCUACCGAUUAACUCCUAAAUGAAAUGCACUUUACACUAGGAAAAAUUCCAUUCAAACAUCUUGGGGUACGGCCUCAAGAAAGUUGACUAUUAGCCGAUGUAUGCCCAUGGUUGAUAAGAUUAUAGCAAGAGUUAAGUGCUGGACUUCUAAACUUUUGCCUUACGGGGUAGAUUGCAAUUGAUAGAGAGUGUUUUAUUUGAGAUGUAAACUUAUUGGACUCAAAAAGUCUUUUUGAUACCAAAAAUAGAUUCUAUCAUUGAUUAUCAAUGUAUGUGGGAAUUUCCUCUUGACUGGGUGUCUGAGUAUUCAAGAAGAGCUCUUGUAGCUUGGGAUACAAUUUGUCAACCUAGGUCUUCCGGAGGAUUGAAUGUACUGGACCUUUUUCUUUGGAAUAAGGCUGCACUUUGUAAGCUCUCUGGGCAGUGUCCAAGGGCAAAGAAACUCUAUGGGCGCAGUGGAUUCACCACUUCUAUAUAAAGGGUAAGGACAUCAACACAGUGAAUACUCCAAAACAGGCUUCUUGGCUGUCAGAAAAAACUUCGACGCUAGAUUGUGGCUGGAGGGUGCCAUUAAUGUCGUCGAAACGCUUGAUAAGUACUCUGUGAUGGGAAGUUUUAGCAUCAAAAAGGCUUAUCUUGCAAUGCUUCCUCAAUGCCCAAAACCCUUGUGAAAAAACCUAGCACUGGUCACAGGUUUAUUGCCAAGGCAUCAUUUUAUGAUGUAGCUGGCACUACACAAAAGCCUAUCAACAGUGGACAUUCAGGUUGAUACAGAGUGUGUCUUGUGCUCAUUUCAGGAAGAAGAGUCUCAGAACCAUCUUUUCUUUGAGUGUGCCUACUCUUGUUAUAUGUGGAGAACAUUAUUAAAUUGGCGGAGCAUUUAUCGACAAAUUGGGGACUGGAAAUCUGAGGUUUGAUGGGUAUCUUCUGGAAUACAUUCCACCAGAGGAAAGUCCCUAGUGCUUCGGUUUUUAUUUGCAACUGUGGUCUAUCAUGUAUGGAUCGGAAGGAACAAUAGAAGAUUCAAGCAUGAGAGAAGAGAUUGUAAGGACAGACUGAAGGAGAUAGUUCUACUUGUACAUAUUAAGGGGCAGAAGCAGGCAAACUGGACCACUGUUUUGACCAAACUAAACAAAUACUCCUGCUAGCUACUUAUCUAUUCCCUUGUACAUGGAAUCUCACUAGUUAUAAAGUGCAGAAUCGCUACAGUUAGUGAAAGAUAAUAGUGUAACUUAAAACUGUUGCUUUUGGUUAUUUUUCUAGGAUCUAACUCUCGAGUCUAAUGAGUUGUACAUAUUGCUCACUUGAUUAAUAGAAUUCUUUCAUUUGACCAAAAAUAUAAUAAAUAAUUAUUUAGGGAUAAAAUACAACAACAACAACAACAACAACAGUAUAAUCCCACCAUGUGGGGUCUGGGGAGGGUAGACUGUACGCAGACCUAACCCCCACCUUGAAAGGUAGGGCGACUGUUUCUGAAAGACUCUCGGCUUAAGAGAGAAGAACAAGAGAAGAAAAACAAGGAAAGCAAGACAUAGGUCAGUAGAACUAAGCAUAUCAAGAACAAUAUACAAAUAUGAAUAAUGAGAGUGAGAAAGUCAGGGUAGGAAAGACCGGAAAGAAAGGAGCAUUAACUACUAUAGAUAAAUAGGAUAUCCAAAGUAAACCGGACCAACAAAUGUAAGUAGUAAUCAAAUGUAGAAAUCAAACGUUAAUAAACAAAUGAGCAAAACUACAACUACUAUGGAGAAAAGAUAAGCCACCUAUCCUACUAUCUUAGUCUGAGUCCUCCACAACCUCCUAUCUAAGGUCAUGUCUUCGGUGAGCUGCAACUGUGCCAUAUCCGUCUAAUCACCUCUUUCCAAUACUUCUUCGGCCUCCCUUUGCCCCUCCUGAAAUUGUCCAUAGCCAACCUCUCGCACCUCCGCACUGGGGCAUCUGUGUUUCUCCUCUUCACAUGUCCAAACCAUCUUAGUCUCGCUUCCUGCAUCUUGUCCUCCACCGAUGCUACUCCCAUCUUGUCUCGGAUAUCUUCAUUCCUAAUUCUAUCCAUCCUAGUGUGCUCACACAUCCACCGCAGCAUUCAUAUUUCCGCGACUUUCAUCUUCUGAAUAUGAAGUUUCUUGAUUGGCCAACACUCCGCCCCGUACAAUUGAGUUGGUCUAACCACCACUUUGUAGAACUUGCCUUUGAGUUUUGGUGACACUUUCUUGUCACACAACACUCCGAAGGCUAGCCUCCAUUUCAUCCACCCUGCAUCAAUACGGUGUGAAACAUCGUCGUCGAUAUCCCCAUCUUCCUGUAUAAUAGACCCAAGAUACUUGAAGCUUCUUUUCUUUUGAAUGGCCUGUGUACCAAGCCUCACUUCCCCGUCAGCCUCACGCGGCCGGCCACUGAACCUGGACUCCAAAUAUUCUGUCUUGAUCCUACUCAAUUUAAAUCCUUUAGACUCCAACGUCUGUCUCUAACCUUCCAGCUUGUCGUUAACUCCGUUGCGAGUCUCGUCAAUCAGGGCUAUGUCAUCCACGAACAACAUACACCAAGGCACCUCACCUUGUAUUUGUCUCGUCAAUUGAUCCAUCACCAGGGCGAAUAGAAAUGGGCUAAGAGCUAAUCCCUGAUGCAACCCCAUCGUAACAGGAAAUUGCUAUGAAUCUCCUCCUACCGUCCUUACCCUGAUCUUAGCUCCAUCAUACAUGUCUUUAAUCGCUCUAAUGUACGCCACUGUUAUACCUUUAGCCUCCAAGCAUCUCCAUAGGACCUCUCUUGGCACUUUUUAUAGGCCUUUUCUAGGUCAAUGAAUAUCAUGUGUAAGUCCCUCUUCCGCUCCCUAUACUGCUACACCAAUCUCCUUACAAUAUGAAUGGCUUCUGUAGUUGAGCGCCCCGGCAUGAAUCCAAAUUGGUUCUCUGAAAUAGACACACUUCUCCUCAUCCUAAUUUCCAUCAUCCUUUCCCACACUUUCAUAGUGUGACUUAGCAGCUUGAUACCUCUAUAGUUGUUGCAGCUUUGAAUGUCUCCCUUGUUCUUGUACACGGGAAUCAUUGUACUCCACCUCCAUUCUUUCGACAUCUUCGAUGACUUGAAAAUGACAUUAAACAACGCAGUCAGCCACUUCAAUCCUCCCCUAUCUGCAUUUUUCCAAAAUUCCCCAGGGAUCUCGUCAGGUCCGGUCGCUCUUCCCCUGCACAUCCUACGAACAGCUCCCUUAACCUCCUCAACCUUUAUUCUCCUGCAAUACCCAAAGUUGCGACGCCUAUCCAAGUGCUCCAAGUCUCCCAACUCAAAAUAUCUGUCCCCUCCUUCGUUCAAGAGUUCGUGAAAGUAUGACUGCCAUCUCUGUCUAAUGCGGGAUUCCUAUACCAGCACUUGACCAUCCUCGUCCUUGAUGUACUUCACUUGAUCCAAGUCGCGUGCCUUCCUCUCUCUCGCCUUGGCGAGCUUAAAUAGCUUCUUAUCCCCACCUCUGUCCUCUAGUUCUUCAUAAAGGCGUUCAAAGGCUACCGUUUUAGUUGCCGAAACUGCCAUCUUCGCCUUCUUAUUCGCCAUCUUAUUUUAAAAUAUCUAAAGGUAUAAUCUAUCUAAAAGAUGAAUAUGAAAAUAAAUAUAAAAUUACUCAAAAAUAUUUAAGAAAAUCUCAAAACAUACAAUAGUUAGUACUUUUCUGUUAUAGGAUAUUCCAAUAUAAAAUCUGCCACCAGCAGGGAGAAAAUUCGGCUUUAGCAAGUAGGUUUCUUCUUGGAUCUACUCAAAAAGAUCAGGUUGUAUUGCCACCCAUCACUAAUCACGUAGCAUUUUGUGGUGGUUGAUCCUUCAAGAAACACCGUGCCCGUGCGAACUAUCUAUUUAUAAUUGACCGGACUCCCAUUUGUAUUAGAGUCUUACAAAACUUCAACAUUGUCUCCAACUUUCUCAAGUUAAAAAUAAAAUUGAGUGAUCAGUCUUUGUUAUCAUUUACCCUGCUUGAAGAAAAAGAGGGCCAAUUGAAAGGUAUAAAAUAUUAUCUAAAAGAUUCAAGUUGGUGUCCGGGCUAGCUUGUGUGCACCUCGACCAAUUCUACGGGAAACAUGCUACAUCCCACUAGCACAAGUAUCGGGUAACUGUGUUUACCGUUACCGAGGCUUGGACAGAUGGAAUGUAGUGUUUUUUUUUCUUCCUCUGAGAUUUAAACCUGAGACCUCAUGGUUGACAUUUUAGACACAUGUUAAGGUCUUACAUAAAGAAAGGUGGAAAGUUGUUUCUCUGUCAAAAUGUGGUCUAAGUAUGUUGGAAAGGAAAAUUGAAUCAUGUUUGCUCUUUUAGACCCAUAAUUUGGAGGUAUGGUUACCGAUUACUGCGAAACCAGAGAAUUAUACAUCUGCUGAUUUAUUUUGUAAUUCUCUUUGCAUAAGUUCAGAGGUUAUGUUACAGCCUCACAGGAGAGUAUUUCUGCAAAUGCAUUACUCGUCUAAUUCUCCUUUAUAUUCUCAGCUGUGUUAGAAACCAGUUUGGUUUCAGUUACCAAGCAUCACUUAGGCUAUUACCAUUCACACCCUGUUGUGAUGAUUCAUUUUCAGUUUUAAUGUGCCUAUGUAUCUCCAUGCAGGCCGUAGAUGGAAGAGUCCCAGUUCCUGUGCACACCCCUCAUAGCGGUGCUACAUCCUCCUCAGGACCCUCUUCUUCCACAGCUACGGGCUGUUCACAGAAUCAAACCGUGGUCAUUCAGAACCCUAUGUCUUUAGAUGGAAGUGGCAAGUUGGUGAGCAAUGUUGUUGUUGGUGUUACGACGACGACUUAGGGUUAGCUGUGAAAUGCAAUAGCAGAAGGAUUAAGAUUCCUAUGUCUGUGAAAUGCACCUAAUUGAAGGCAGUAAGGUUUUUGCUCGCUUCCAUUGGAUCGAUGAGUAUAAAUGUGGUGCUAUAUAGAUAUGGUAUUAUUUAGUUCUUGUAUUAAAGCAUUUCUAGAUUGAAGAACUGUACCAAAGGUCUGACUAUUUGUGGUAACAAUACCAAAGUGAUUGAACAUUUAGGCUUUAGUAAUGUUGAUUUUCUGAAGACUGUAAAUGUUGCCAAAUUAGAUUCUGUGGUGUGGAUACGCCCGAUGAUCCAAUUACAGAAUGUUGAUAUUUACCAUUUGUCCUGAUGUUAAUAAAAUUUAAUCAACUUGAUGUA
Solanum dulcamara is the source of this 8823-nucleotide long non-coding RNA. RefSeq lists it as uncharacterized. NCBI's taxonomy places the organism in Eukaryota, Viridiplantae, Streptophyta, Magnoliopsida, Solanales, Solanaceae. The record is from RefSeq and is a predicted model, not a curated record. The transcript has 3 exons.